Molecule: long non-coding RNA, 479 nt
Organism: Cyprinus carpio carpio
Lineage: Eukaryota; Metazoa; Chordata; Actinopteri; Cypriniformes; Cyprinidae
Source: Ensembl
CUUUCACAGAAAUAGUGUGAAAAACUGAAAUCAUGUUGAAGGGUAAGAGAACAUGACACUCCGAGCAGAGUUUUGUGGUCAGCAACAGGCCGAUACUAAAUCUAACAGGAUUGUUCCAGACAGAGACGUUGUUCGUGGUGGAAAUCCAUGUGCGUGUCUUUUUGUAGCAUAGGGGGCGGGACACUUCGGAUUCUAGCAAGCAUUUGAUUGGACCGAAAAUCUGACGAGAAGCUGAAGUGCAGGAUGAUGUCAUCAGAACCGCUGAUCCAUAUUGCCAGAAGUGAGAGACUAUGGUGAGAUUGCAUCUUUUCAGACAGCGCUGGCCAGAUGUACCCAUGCGAUUAUGUGGUUUUUCACGUCAACUCAGCUCCUCAAAGAGAUCAGUCAUGGUUGUCUUUCAUCAGUCUGUUGAAGUUAUGUCAAAAAUGCGUGGGACGAGUUCGCCACCCAUUAGCGCCCUCAAAAACACACACGGCCGC